RNAcentral lists this ribosomal RNA (266 nucleotides) under marine sediment bacterium BB0608_2216_2.1_4G0. Its description in RNAcentral is "partial 16S ribosomal RNA". It matches the Rfam family "Bacterial small subunit ribosomal RNA", at positions 75 to 341 of the family's 1533-position model. The record is from RNAcentral.
UGCUUUUUUGCUGACUACCGGCGAACGGGUGCGUAACGCGGAGUAAAUCUGCCUUGUAUGCGAUGAUAGCCUUUAUAAAUGAUGAUUAAUACUCCAUAAUGUUGUGAACUGGCAUCAGUUUAUAAUUAAAGAUUUUUCGGCCCCACAUGACUAGACUUCCUAUUAGGUAAUUGGGUAGGGUAGCGGGGUAAAGGUGGCACACAAUAGGUAGGGGGUCUGAGAGGAUUAUCCCCCAUCCUGGUACUGAGACCUGGACCACACUCCUA